Molecule: non-coding RNA, 78 nt
Organism: Podarcis lilfordi (Lilford's wall lizard)
Lineage: Eukaryota; Metazoa; Chordata; Lepidosauria; Squamata; Lacertidae
Source: the annotation of a GenBank genome assembly
GCUAUCCUACUCAGUUGGUUAUAGAGUGUGGUGCUGAUAACGCCAAGGUUGCAGGUUCAGUCCCCAUACGGGACAGCU